This 1027-nucleotide ribosomal RNA is filed under the name Dysidea cf. pallescens cf. JV-2020. RNAcentral's name for it is "partial large subunit ribosomal RNA". It matches the Rfam family "Eukaryotic large subunit ribosomal RNA", at positions 118 to 936 of the family's 3401-position model. Lineage: Eukaryota; Metazoa; Porifera; Demospongiae; Dictyoceratida; Dysideidae. The record is from RNAcentral.
AAAUCUCCGGUGCCUGCACCGGCGAAUUGUAGUCUGUAGGGCCAGUUUCGCCCGACGCGGUGUCCCCAAAGUCGUCCUGGAAAGGCGGGCCGGAGAGGGUGAGAGCCCCGUGUGCGGGGGCGCCGCGGAAGGUAAGAUCUGUGCCCGAAGAGUCGGGUUGUUUGGGAUUGCAGCCCAAAACGGGUGGUAAACUCCAUCUAAAGCUAAAUACCGGCACGAGACCGAUAGCGAACAAGUACCGUGAGGGAAAGAUGAAAAGCACUUUGAAAAGAGAGUCAAACAGUACGUGAAACCGUCGGGAGGGAAACGAACGAGGUUGGUGCAGUGAUUGCGCAGGCUCAGGCUCGGCCGAAGGUGCCGUCGCGGUGACCAGAGCGUCCCGUGGCGUCCGCCGGAGGCAGAGCCGUACUCCUCGCGAGCACGGACCAGCGGCGGUCGGAGCGGGGCCACAAGGCCGCGGGUACGGUACGUCGGGUCGGGCUUCGGCUCGCCCGACGACUUAUAGACCAGCGAUCCGGCGUCCCGCUUUGACCGAGGAAGGAGGGCAGCUCUUGCCCGGUGUGGUGCACGCCGUACGGCGGGGCCUCCCGUCGAGGGCGAGUCGCGCUGCGUGGACUGCGUGCAGUGCUCACGGUUGCGGCGGACCCACGGUCGGAGAGCGUCACUUGUGCACCAGUGCCGCUGGUAUUGGGACGGCCUCGUCCGACCCGUCUUGAAACACGGACCAAGGAGUGCAACAUGUGCGCGAGCCCUUUGGCGAGCAAACCAGAAGGCGCAAUGAAAGUGAAGGCACGGUCGCCGUGCUAAGGUGAGAGCCGUCCCCGGCGGGACGGCGCAUCAUCGACCGAUCCCAUCCGUGCCGUUCGCGGCGUGGCGGGAUUCGAGUGAGAGUGUACCUGUUGCGACCCGAAAGAUGGUGAACUAUGCCUGAAUAGGGUGAAGCCAGAGGAAACUCUGGUGGAGGCCCGUAGCGAUUCUGACGUGCAAAUCGAUCGUCAAAUUUGGGUAUAGGGGCGAAAGACUAAUC